This 400-nucleotide ribosomal RNA is filed under the name uncultured bacterium. RNAcentral describes it as "bacterial SSU rRNA". It matches the Rfam family "Bacterial small subunit ribosomal RNA", at positions 355 to 770 of the family's 1533-position model. The record is from RNAcentral.
UAGGGAAUUUUGCGCAAUGGGCGAAAGCCUGACGCAGCAACACCGCGUGAGCGAUGAAGCCCCUUGGGGUGUAAAGCUCUGUCAGUAGGGAAGAAUAAAUGACUGUACCUACAGAGGAAGCAUCGGCUAACUACGUGCCAGCAGCCGCGGUAAGACGUAGGAUGCAAGCGUUGUCCGGAAUUAUUGGGCGUAAAGAGUUCGUAGGCGGUAUGUCAAGUCUGGUGUUAAAGACUGAGGCUCAACCUCAGGAGGGCAUUGGAUACUGGCAAACUAGAGUGCAGAAGAGGCAAGGGGAAUUCCCAGUGUAGCGGUGAAAUGCGUAGAUAUUGGGAGGAACACCAGUGGCGUAAGCGCCUUGCUGGGCUGUUACUGACGCUGAGGAACGAAAGCCAGGGGAGCA